UUAACUAUUAUAUAGUACUCAGACAUCACUAAACAAACGAGUUUGGGUCCUCUGGCAGGCGCAGUCAGCCGGAGCCGACGCCCCGAGGGGCGGCCUGCCAAAGCAACAAAGGUAUGUAUACACGGUUUGGAAUUACCCAUUUCAAGAAACGGGGCGUUCUUUAAUGAUCCUUCCGCAGGUUCACCUACGGAAA
RNAcentral lists this unclassified non-coding RNA (193 nucleotides) under uncultured fungus. RNAcentral's name for it is "sequence contains ITS1". Lineage: Eukaryota; Fungi. The record is from RNAcentral.